AUAGCGUAUAUUUAAGUUGUUGCAGUUAAAAAGCUCGUAGUUGGAUCUUGGGUCGUAAGGGUCGGUCCGCCUACUCGGUGUGCACCUGCCCUUCCGUCCCUUUUGUCGGCGGCGUGCUCCUGGCCUUAAUUGGCUGGGUCGCGGUUCCGGCGCUGUUACUUUGAAAAAAUUAGAGUGCUCAAAGCAAGCUUAUGCUCUGAAUACAUUAGCAUGGAAUAACGUGAUAGGAGUCUGGUCCUAUUGUGUUGGCCUUCGGGACCGGAGUAAUGAUUAAUAGGGACUGUCGGGGGCAUUCGUAUUUCAUUGUCAGAGGUGAAAUUCUUGGAUUUAUGAAAGACGGACCACUG
Molecule: ribosomal RNA, 347 nt
Filed under: uncultured eukaryote
Lineage: Eukaryota
Description: SSU rRNA
Rfam family: Eukaryotic small subunit ribosomal RNA
Source: RNAcentral